CCGCCAUUUAUGCUUUGUAAGAAUGAAAAAAAAUCAAUUAAAAAUUGACAAGGAAAAAGAAAAUAAUUCUUUUCUAUCAUCUGGCUUUUAAAUAUUCUUAGAUAAUUACACAUAUAUCCCAAUUUCUCUUAUACUUUUUAAAUAGUUUGACGAGGAACCAACUGAACCUGUGCACGGUAGCUGUAUGAGACAGAAAAUCCCACAACGGAAGGAAUAACGUUAAACCGAAAACUGGGUCCCAGCUGACAGCCAGACGAAUCUCUGGCCUGGCGAUCCCGGAUCUACACCCCACAACUGACAACUAAUGUUAAACCGAACCCGAGAAGAUGAAUGAGAGCGAGAAUAUCCUUGAAUCUGUCGAACCUCAGAGGAACUGGGGGACCCCAUAUCGGUACUUCUCGGCGAAAAAUAACGGUAAAAAAUAUAUUUCCAUAAGUUCCCGUGAAGAUCCCUUACAACACUAAUGAAGUCUAAAUCUUUUUUUUAUACAGAGAGCAGGGGUGUGCACACGGAACAUUUUGGACUGUAAAGGUUGAAACUUUUGAACCGAAACGAAUGUACACGAUAUCUAAUAGAAUUUUAGAAUUUUUAAGAUUCUAAAUUGUGGACGGAAAGUGAUUUCAACUUGAAGUCUACAAUGUUAAUCGUAUAAAUUAAAAAAAUUUAACUUUUUAUCUAUUUUCCUUAAUUGGAUAUCUCGGAUAUAAAAGUUUACUACUGAAAUUCUGUCCCUAUAAAUAAAUAAUCUGAAAUAACGUGUUUUAAUCAGUAAAUCUUUAUUGAAAUUUUUCGGAGAAUGAUCCGUAAACUAUAAAUAGGACUUGAGCCAAAAACUGAAUUUCCCUUCUCAAUCUGAAUUGUAUUUAAAAAUAAACUAAUUAUCUUUUUAUUGAUUCAGUCUGAUGAAACUGUAACGCCUCCUGAACCGACAGACCCAGGACGUCUCAAGAAGAUAGGACAACUACGCUACAACGUUAUCUCAAAUUUGUAGCUCAAUACAAUGAGCUAACAUAAUUGCUUCUUGGCUUAAAAGAUACUAACGAACCAUCAAUGUUCGUAAUUAGUAUAUUUUUUAAAUAUUUAGUCCCUUCGGACACCAUGCUAAUGAAGCCUCAAUAUUAUUAAGACGAACCAUCAAUGUUCGCAUUUAUUAUUUUUCUCAAUUAUCAUUUUCCUUCGAAUACUUCUUAAUUAUUGUGUUCCUUCUUUCGCUUGCUUAUGAAGCCCCAAUAUAAACGAAUUGACAUAUUUUCGCGUAAAAUGUAGCCUCAAUAUAAACGAAGAACGUGUAAUGUUCCUCGUUAUGAAGCUUACAUUAAAUUACUUUAAUGUAAAAAUGGAAAGUCGCUCCCGUGUAUGUUUAUGUGAAAGCAUGCACACUGUUAAUUGUAGCCUUUUCUAAUAAGAGAUAACACACAUUGUGUAUGUAGUAUCUCACAGUCAGAUUUCACAAAAGAACGCUACCCUUAAUAUAUAAUGUAGUUUUUUCUCUCGAA
Molecule: long non-coding RNA, 1496 nt
Filed under: Eurytemora carolleeae
Lineage: Eukaryota; Metazoa; Arthropoda; Copepoda; Calanoida; Temoridae
Description: uncharacterized LOC111711398
Source: RNAcentral